AUUCAAUGCUAUACAGCCAAAAACAAUGUUUAAACACAGCACAGGGAAUUCUCUAAUCAAUCAAAUCUCACACUACUCACCCUAACACUACAAAUUCACUCAACCAACAACAAGAACACUCACUACUGAAUAUACAAAGCCCUUCCAUUGCUGCCUAGAAAGUGCUAGGCAUAGUCCCUACUGUAUUAGCUAUUCAUUCAUUGCUAUAAAGAAAUACCUGAGACUGGAUAACUUAUAAAGAAAAGAGGUUUGACUGGCUCACAGUUCUGCAGGCUUUACAGGAAGUAUGGUGUUGGCAUCUGAUCAGCUUCUGGGGAGGCCUCAAGAAGCUUACAGUCAUGGUAGAAGGCAAAGAAGCAGCAUGCAUGUAACAUGGCGAAAGAAGGAGCAAAUUGGGGUUGGAAAGUGUCACACACUUUUAAAUAACCAGACCUCACAAGAGCUCAUUAUCACAAAGACAGCACUAAGCCAUGAGGGAUCUGCUGCCAUGAUCCAAACACAUCCCAUCAGGCCCCACCUCCAGCACUGGGGAUUAAAUUUCAACAUUUGAGUGGGGAGAAAUAUCCAAACGAUAUCAUCUGAUGUAUACACUAAAGAAUAUUUCUGCAAACAUACUACUGGAGGAAAAUAACAAAGAGUAGCACUGAUAGUGGUUAUCCCUGUCUUGCUUCUGACCAAAAAGAGAAUGCAGCUACAAUGUCUCCAUUAUUGAAGCUUCCUUUGUAGCCUAAUACAUGCCCAAUUUUUUAGAAUGUCCAUUAGUGCUGGAAAAGAGAGUGUAUUUUCUGUACAUCUCACAAAGCUCCUUUUGAACAUAUUUCAAUCCACUUCUAUCUCUAAAAUUCUGUCUCUACAGGGGGCUCAAAAUCAGUAUGAGGAGACAAGUGGAGAACAGAUGCUCUCCAAUAGCCUUGAAAACCAACAGCACUGCCAUAAUGGUGAGAAACAGCAGCCUUGAAGCUACUAGACAGGGCAAAGCUGGUUUGGAGCUCCCCAAAAACACUAUUCUCAGAGCACUGUCAUUAUUUGACCUGUCUGGCAUAUUCCUGCAACCUCCAUUGGCAAGACUUGCCUGUAUUUGAUCUUAUUCAGAACUUGCUCAUUGCAAACAACCUUUUUGGAGGGGAGGAGGUGGAAAACAAUAAGCACCAAUUAUUUAACAUUGCCACUGCCUGAGGAGAUGAUAAUGGUGGAACAAACAAGAAACUGACCAAUACACUUAAAGGAAAAGCUGAAUAACGAAAUGUCAAUAGGGGGCUCUGAAAAACUCCAACAUAUUCCUGAAACUCUAGAAAGCCAUGCAGAAGCACACAGAAGGCUGUAUACACGCCAAAGGCCACUUGAAGACCUAGGAAAGAUCUAAGAAGUACCUAAUAUCUCACCUAAGACUGACCUUGAAGCUCUGUGAGAGCAAGAAGUGAAGGCUAAGGCAGAGUUGCAAACUGCCAGGCUAAAUAUUGAAGGUCUGGUGAAACACAUGCACAAAGCCCAUCAGUGAAGGAUAAGAGACCUACUGAUUCCAGACAUUUAAGGAAAUCUCUAUCCAAUCAUUAGCUGACCAUUAAGCUAAACAAGCAGAGAUUUUAAUGGCCACACAUGACAAAGAAUACAGGUUUUACAAAUGCAUUCAGGAAAGUCAGUAAACAAACUGAUAGCAAACACAAUAACAAGCAGCAGCAACAAACCCCGAGGGGGUGAGUGACAUUUCCAGAGUUGCCAUAUUAUUUAAAAUGUUAAAUAUCUCCCAAAAAAUGAUAAAAUUUUAAAGAUAAAUAAAUAAAAUGUUUCAAGGCAAAAGUAAAAUAAAAUGUCCAUAACAAGUUUUCCAUGAAAAAAAAAGACAAAACAUGCAAAGAAACAAGAAGAUAUGGUCUACAGAAAAGUCAAACAAAGAAAAGGAAAGUUUGAGGAAGCUAGAUAUUGAAAUUAUGAGGCAAAGACUUUAAAUCAGCUAUUUCAAACAUGUUCAAAGAACUUUAAAAAAUCACAAAUAAGGAACUAAGAGACUAUAAGAAUUAUGGCUCACUAACUAUAGAAUAUCAAUGAAGAGAUAGAAAUUAGAACAAAAGAACCAAAAGGAAAAAAUAAUAAAUUUAAAAGGAUUAAAACUAUAUAAUUUUCUUCUACCAUAAUGAAAUUAAACUAAAAGUUAAAAAGGAAAUUUGGGAAAUUCACAAAUAUGUGAAAAUUAAACAACACACUCCUAAAUAAACAAUGAAUCAAAGAAGAAAUCAUAAGGGAAAUAUGAAAAUAAUUUGAGAUUAAAGGAAACAAAAACACACCCAAAAAAUCCAUAACAAAACUUAUGAUAUGCAGCUAAAGCAGUGCUUAAAGGGAAAUUUAUAAACACCAAAUUAUAAAAAGAAAAAAUAUUAAAUUAAUCAUCUGUUUACCUUAAACUAGAAAUAAAGGAACAAACUAAACCUAAAGCAAGAAGAAGGAAGGAAAUAAUAAAGACUAGAGUGGAAAUAAAUGAAAUAGAGAUUAUAAAAGCAAUAGAGAAAAACAAAUUAAACCAAAAAUGUCUUCUUUGAAAAGAUCAAGAAAAUUGACAAACUUUUUGUUAUGCUAAAUUGACCAAGAAAAAAAAAAAGAGAAAACACUGAAAUGACUAAAAUCAGGAAUAGAAACAUUACAAAUUUUACAGAAAUAAAAAUGAUUAUAAGGGAAUGCUAUGAACAACAAUGGCAUAUGCCAACAAAUUGGAUAACCUAGAUGAGAAAGACAAAUGCCUAGAAAGACGUAAACUACCAGAACUGACUCAAGAAGAAAUAGAAAAUCCGAACAGAUCUAUAACAAGAUCAAUUAAGUAAACAAAAAGUAUUCCACAAAGUUAAAUCCAGGCCCAGGAAGCUUCACUAGUGAAUUGCAUCAAAUGUUUAAAGAAUUAGCCCCAAUCCUUCACAAACUCUUCCAAAAAAUGAAAGAGGUGACAAUACUUCCCAUUUUGCAAUUAUAAGGGAACAAUGCUGAAAACUUUCAUAAUAUUGCUCAAGCCUAAUUUGCCUAAUACUUCCCAGACUACAUCUUUUUAUUCUUCUUUCUUGACUUUUCUCUCUUUUCAGACCUUCAAUUUCUGCCUUUUCUCAAUCAGUCCUACCUGUAUCUUUGGUAGUCAUUUCAAAGAAAAAUUUUAGGGAAGUAGGUGAGCCAUUUAUUUUUAAAUAAACAUCUCAUCUGACAUGGUUUUGCCUAUAGUCAUGCAGGUGUGCACUGUCCAACCCCAGGAGAACUAUUCACAUCACAGACCCAUAGAUUUUAAUUUCCAUUACAAUUUGUAGGCAAAUGGUAGUAAAGCAACUUUAUCUCAUAAAAAUCAGUAAAUGCAAACAGGCUACAACUAACUGUAACUCACAAAGAAUGCUAUAAUGACCCUAACUCUGACAUCCCUAGUGAGUUAGGACUGCAAAGGAAACUGAUGAACUCCUAAGAGAAAUUUUGUUUUAUUUACUCAAGAGAUCUUAUUAUUACACAAGUCAAAAUCUAACUGCUUUUCACACAAAACCUGCCUCUCUUUCUGACUUUCAAUUUCAGUAUUUGUUUCUAACAUUCACCUAGAGUUUAAAUCAGCUAGCUCUCUCCACCCUCUAAUCUAUUCUAUACAGUUGAGUAAGAUUAACUUGCCUCUGAGAUAUAACAAGUGUCACAUUUAAGGGAGGUGAUGAUGUUUGCAGACUGCAAAUAGGAUGUGGUGCCACCAGGUGUGCAAAAGUAGCUUAGUAUAGCCUCUUGAGCUAACCUGCUUGCUCUAAUGGUAAGCCAUUUCUACUUUUGCUCCAGGAAUCUAUUCUAAAGCAACAUGUACAAACUCUACAAAAAUCUUCUAAUCUUCUGUCAUUUCAUGUUUAGUGUUUCUGAAAUUAAAGCAGUAAUUCUGAGUUCCUUUUUCAUCUUUCUUCCAGAAUUCACCUCUGAAUGCUAAACAGUUUCCUCCUGAGUAUGACUAGACUGUAUGAUUCUCUGCCUCCUAGAUAUGCUCUGUGUGCAUAGCUUGGUUCAUUGACCACAUUAAUUCAUUUACAUGUUAAUCACUUCAAAACCACAACAGUUUUAAUAAGGUCCUCUGGGGAAACCCAGCUUCCUUUGUUAACUACUCUUCUUACCACAGAGAAGCAUUUAGAGACCAAAGAGUAAUCAGUGAGCCUAAGAGUUCUAAUGAAUCACCAGAGGCAUCCCUUGGUCUUAUCUAUGAUAAUGGCAUGAGCCAGAGAAACACAGGAGAUUAAUUAAAAAGUUGCAUUUUCCUCUAGGUCUUCUUAAGAGGCAGUCUCUAUUGACCUGUAACUUGUCAAAAGUAACAAAACUCUAGUCUUCUUGCCUCCAGAACUUGUGUGUGUUUCAUUACAAACACUCAACCUCUUGAGUGCCAUUCAACCCAGCAGAGCAGAAGCGAAUUAGUACCCUGUAACCCUAUUCCUGCCUGCACAGCUUCCUUCAUCAUUAAGAGAAAACACCGUGUGGAAAGACUUUUAAUCUAGAUUAUAGUCACCUUCUUCACUAAGGCCCUGUGAGUGGUAGUUAGCCCAUACAAUUCAUUUAUUAUUUUCAUUUCCCACUGAAUUGGUCUGUUGUCUUAGGCCCAAUUGGAGAUGCAGUUCAAGAUAAUAAAUUAUUAUCCAAGAAAUCUGAAGUUGUAAGAAGUCUUAGAGUUGACCUUUACAGGAGAGAAAGCAAACAGUCCAGAAGGUUACACAACUAAUCUAAACUCAUAAAGUUUGUGAUUAACCAAGAUUUACAGCUUGAAUCCUAGUCACCUAGUAAAAUGUUUUUCCAAGAGAAAUUACAAGUCUCUAUCACCUGAAGACAAGCCUGGAAAAAAGUUAAGGGAUUGCUUCUAUUAAAUUGCAGUUAGAAAAAUAUGAUUCCCCCUAUCAUUUCUUCCUCUGAAAUUUUGAAAUCUCUGAUAGUUUCCCUUUCCUCUCCAUUCUCAUUGCCUUGUUUUUAUUAACUCAUGAUCCUAAUGCUACCAUAACCUCCUUACUUUGGCAUCCAUAAUUCAGUGAUUACUAUUUCUAGUUUAUCCUUCGCACCACGACUAAAUAAUCUUUCUAAAAGGAGAUCAUGUCACAACUGAUUUAAUAAAUGUAAACUAUAUAAUCUUAAUAAUGUCAUUGUUCUUCUUAAUUACCCCUGCUAUAUUGAGUGAAGUGAGGGGCCUAUUUAGAUUUUUUGCCUCAUUUAUCCAUUUAAUAACUUCAAAAUACUUGGUUUAAAUUUGCCUACUUUAUUGAUUUAUACUCUCCUUUUUAUCACAUAUUAGAUUCUUAGGCAUAGCAGCAUUUAUUUCUGUGCUAUUGUUGUUGUUCCAUGCACCUUUAAGUUAGUUCCCUAUGCUUUACUUUGUUUUGACAACCAUGUGCUUAUACAUUGGAAAAACAAACUGUGAUAUAGCCAUGCAAUGGAAUGCUACUCAGGAAUAAAGGUGAGUGAACCAUUGGUAAAAGACAUGACAUAAAAGAAUCUCAAAAUGAUUAUGCUGAGUAAAAAAAAAUAAAAAAUAGACCAAAAGAAGUAUAUAUUGUUCAUUUACAUAAAAUUCUAGAAAUUCUGGAAAUUUUAAACUAAUCUACAGUGACAGAAAGUGCAUUCAUGUUUGCUUGGGAAAGGAAGACGGGGGCAAAAAGAGAAAAACAGGAUCAUGAGAGGGCACAAAAAAACUUUUGUGAUUGAUGGUUAUGUUAAUCAAUUUGAUUGUGGUGAUGGCGUCAUGGGUGUAUACAUAUGUCACAAUUUAUCAAACUGUGUACUUUAAAUAUAUUCAAUUUAUUGCAUGAUAGCUAUACCCUAAAAAGGCCAUUAUGGGGGGG
RNAcentral lists this long non-coding RNA (5807 nucleotides) under Homo sapiens (human). RNAcentral's name for it is "HSALNT0207995". The record is from RNAcentral. Lineage: Eukaryota; Metazoa; Chordata; Mammalia; Primates; Hominidae.